Molecule: small nucleolar RNA, 104 nt
Filed under: Microcebus murinus (gray mouse lemur)
Lineage: Eukaryota; Metazoa; Chordata; Mammalia; Primates; Cheirogaleidae
Description: Small nucleolar RNA U13 (ENSMICG00000048083.1)
Rfam family: Small nucleolar RNA U13
Source: Rfam by way of RNAcentral
AUCCUCUUAUAGUACAUAAGCAUGAUGAUUGGGUUUUCAUGUGCAUGCGUGAGAUAUGCCUCCCUCAAUCCUUGCUACGACGUGAGCACAUUACUCAUCUGACA